AAUCUGAUUUGCAAAUAGCAUGUUUCUCAGUUUCCCUAUAGACCUAAAGAAACAAAUAAAUUAAGAUAGAAAAUAUUCAUAAUUCAUUCAUAUAUAAAUUGUAUUGAACGCUAGAACUCAUCAUGUUUCGUUUACCAUUCGGAGAAAGAGUUGAUCCUUUGGAGGAAAAACGUCAAGCAAGAGAAAAUACUAUCAACAGUGUUAUAACAUUCUGUGUAUUGUGUGCAGCUAUUCGAAUAGCUCCAUUGGUCAUCGAGCACAGUGGAUUUUAAACUAUUAGAAGGAGCAUGAGCUGAAGAAAAUUCUGCGCUGUAUAUUAUGUAAUAAAUUAUUCCCUUAGUUAA
Molecule: long non-coding RNA, 344 nt
Organism: Pararge aegeria (speckled wood butterfly)
Lineage: Eukaryota; Metazoa; Arthropoda; Insecta; Lepidoptera; Nymphalidae
Exons: 2
Source: RefSeq, a predicted model, not a curated record